CAGGCCUUUAACCCCGCCCUACGCGGCGGGAUCCUGCCCUUUCUCUCCGUCUUCCUGCGAUCUCGCCGGAACAGCCGGUUCGCGCAGGCGCAGUUUGUGGACUUGAUCUGCUGUGCCUGUGUGAAGCUCCGAGUCUCACACUGUUGCCCAGGCUGGAGUACAGUGGCAUGAUCUUGGCUCACUGCAACCUCCACCUUCCUGGUUCAAGUGAUUGUCCUGCCUCAGCCUCCUUAGUAGCUGGCAUUACAGUGAAAGAGGACAAUCGAACUUGGUGUCAACUCAAGGGUUCAAGAAAGGGUGAAAAAAAUGAAUAGAAGGAAGUCUUCAUUCUGGAAAGGGACCCAUUUUGAAGUUCAGCUGUAGCAGACUAUUUUAUAAUUUUGUAUAAAAAUUAUAUCUUCAUAAUCAACUUGAUUAUUUGAUUUAUAAUGUAAAAAAGCAUAAUGUUUCUUAUGGUCUAUAAAUAACCACUUUUUUCAAGCGUGACAGAUUAAGUGAAAACAAAGGGAGUGAACAAAAGUGGGACGGUGUCAUGAAUUUGUAUCUGCCCUAAGGAAGAGGGCAGUACUUUUGGGGAGUGCAAUUUACAUGAGCAUCUGGGUCCUUUGUCAUGUUUUGGAUGGAUGACCUGAGUCUGAUAUAUUGAUGAAUAGCAUUAACAAAGGUCUGGUUGUCAAAGGCUAGGAAGAAAAAUGCAAUUAGCCACAGCAAUGAGGUUAUGUCUAUGUUUGGGGAUAAAGAACCAAUACCUAAAUGGCAGUGGAGAACACUGGAAUGAUACCAUUAGCAAAAGGCCAGAUUUGUGUGUGUGUGUGUGUGUGUGUGUGUGUGUGUGUAUACCUAUUAGAUAGUCAUCUUCACUCAGCAGGAUAUAGAAAAACGUCAUUUCUUUGACAAUGUUUGACUUAUGUAAUAAGAACAAAUAUGAACCUGUUACUAAAGAAAUGACCAAAUGAGCUUGAUGAAUUUAUAACUCAUAACACACUAAUUUCACCCACCUAACAUUUGUAAUUCUGUUUGUUUCUAUUUAAAUAAAAUUAGAAUUAAAUAAAGGGCAUUUGGAGCCUGAAAGAAGUUUGCUCUUUUUCAGUCUCAUUUUUUUUUUUCUGUAAACUAUGCGAUCCAGCAUAGAGAACCAUAUCUAAUCUCCCAAUUAGGUCAGGCCCCAGGAUAAUCAAUCUCCUUAACAGCAGAUGCCUUGUUUUAGCAAAUGAAUGCUUGGUUUCAAAAGUUUUGUGUUGAGAGAACACUGCAGUUGGCAUGGGUGAUUAGAACUCUUUUAAAUCCUAUAAAAAGCUUCUAUAGAUUGUUUUAUGCCCACAUUUUGUGAACUGAAGUAAAUGCUGUAUAUAUUUAUCUUCAAAUGAACAAUGAACAUGGUGGGGACUUUAUACAGCCUGUGAGGACAUCUAUAUGCAUAUAAAUGCAAUUAUUUGCAGUCUAAAAUGUUUAUGUCCAUUUAAAUUAAACUGUGUUUUUGAUAAAACUUAAAAUGCAUUUAUAUAUAUUUUGAGUAGGUGCUUUCAUAUUUAUGAAGUAUGCUCCUUAAUAACAAUAACUUAAUUAUUAGAAUAGCAUUGUUUGAACUGAAAAUAUAAUGACAAGUUAACAUGAUUUUCGUAUUUGUUGUUUGGACCACUUUAAAUUAGUUUUUAAGUGCCCUUCUUUCUAUCUGAUGCCUGCUCAGUUCAUACUUGUAGUUUGUGUUAAUGGGCAAUGUGUGAAAUAACUUUGAAACCAGUAAAAAAAAAUUUUUAAUUAAAUUUUAUAAACAAUGUAUAUUAAGUCAAAAUAAUAUGUUGACUUAGUUUGCUCAAAGCUUAUUUGAUAUAAGAUAAAUUGAAAUAUAAUGAAAUAAUUUUCUGGUAUAAUUUAAAAACCCUAAGCCUCAAUAAAUUAUUUUAGAUAAUCGUUGUUCAAAAUCUGAUUGCUGGAAUUUGUCAGUGAUACCCGAAUACAUAAAACACUUCAGAGGCUACAUAAAUACGUAUUUUCUUUUUUCUGGAGUGCUGAUUACAUAAUCGAAAGUUGAAACAUUUGCAAGGUAGGUGAGAAAAAAAGCAUUCGCCAGCAUAUUUUUGAUUUUAUCAUUUCAACUUUAUUGCAUAUGGUCUGUUCUGCCAGUUUUUGUCUCCUUCUAAAAGUGUUUCAAUCUGUUGAAUCUAUGGAAAGUUAAUAUUUUCCUUAGUGAAGGCUGAUAAGACAUCUGAGGAAAAAUUAAAAACAGAUGAUCUCUAAUUUAAGAAACAUUUGAUGCUAAUUACUUCUUACCUUUUCACACAAAUAUUGGUAAAUGUAUAGGAUCACAUUACUUUUAAAGUGAUAUUUUAAAGCUAAAUUCAUAGAGAUCCAGUGAGAUAAUUAGAUGUUUGUAUAAGAUUUUUAAAAUACAGACAUUCUUAGUCAUACAAAAAUACCAAAAGGCACUGUGACAAUCUACUUUUCCUUAUUCUAAUUUGUAACAGGAUUUUAAUAUGGUCAGUAGAAUGGCUUCAGCAUAUUUACAACCUUAAAGUUUUUAACUAGAAAACAGUUUGAUGUCUAGAUCUGUUACUCAGCUACAGUUUGGAUUUAAAACUUAAUUUGAUUAUUAUAGCAUGUAAGGCAGUUUACAUUUGAGUUAAUAAAAUUAACACUUAGCCUUUUAUGAUCGCUUUCUUACUCAGAUAUCAGUGGUUUUCAGAAUGCAAAGAUUUCUAAACUGAAAUUUCUUUCUUAUCAUGAUGCUCUCGUGGCUAAGUUUAUACUUGCAUUAUUUCAUCUUUACACACACACAGCAUAAUAUGACAAAAGAAAGUCUGAAAGAAAAUAUACCAAUACAUUGCUAUUUUUGGAUGGUGAAUAGAUUUGGGUGAUCUGUAGAACCUUCUUUAUUGUAUUAUACAGGCUUAACUUUUUAAUCAUUACUUUUUAAUUCAGUAGAGUAUGGCUAUUUUCAUUCUUAAAAACAUAUAUAUUAUAAUCCCAGUAUAGGUGAUAUAUUGUUUUCACAAAAAUUUUAUAAUAAAGGUUGAUGAUAAUUUUUUUUCCAUCCUCUUGAAUCUGUUAAAAUCUAAAAGAAAAAAAUAUCCUGUUAUUUCGUUGGCAUUACUAAUUUGUUCAUGGCGUUUUAUAAACCACUCAGCGGAGUUACAGUGUAAUAAUUGUAAACUGUAAGGGGUAUGUUAUGCUUAAAGGAUCCCAGGAUGAUCCAAAACAAACUGCAAACAUGGUAAACAGAAAUUGUACCUCUGCAGGAUCUCAGGACCCCUCUACACUGUUAAAAAUUAUUGAAGGCCCUUGCAAAGAACUUUGUGUAUGCAGGUUAUAUUAGUAUUUAUCAUAUUAGACAUUGAAACUGAUA
Callithrix jacchus (white-tufted-ear marmoset) is the source of this 3343-nucleotide long non-coding RNA. RefSeq lists it as uncharacterized. The record is from RefSeq and is a predicted model, not a curated record. NCBI's taxonomy places the organism in Eukaryota, Metazoa, Chordata, Mammalia, Primates, Cebidae.